Panicum virgatum (switchgrass) is the source of this 1425-nucleotide long non-coding RNA. RefSeq lists it as uncharacterized. Lineage: Eukaryota; Viridiplantae; Streptophyta; Magnoliopsida; Poales; Poaceae. The record is from RefSeq and is a predicted model, not a curated record. The transcript is spliced from 2 exons.
AAUAUUUAGAAUUGCAAUGUAUAUGUUAUUCUGCUUAAUAUUUUUCACUCAAGUAGAAUUGCAAUGUAGGGUACAGUUUUGUAGUUAAGGCAAAGUGAAACCAUUUGACUAAUUUGAAGCAAUUUUUUUCAAUGAAAAAUAUUUAAGCAGAAUUCUGGUAGCUGUUAACCGCUUGGCCAAUGUUAACUGUUUAACUGCCACCAUGAGGUAAUACUAAUAAUAAUCUCCUUGCUUAAUCUGAUGUGCAUAGUCCCGUAAACACCUUAGUAAGAUAUUAAGGACAAAAGAGCACCCACAUGAUAUAUGUGAAGAAUUAUCCUGAGGCUGCACCCUCAUGUUUGGGCUAUUUGAUCAGCGUGGUUGCUUCUUGCUGGUAACAAGCUACAGGAAACUUGAAUUUUUGCUUGCAGCACAGCAAGCAGGUUGAGUUAGAUGAACCAUACAAAUUAUCGAGUGGAGAUAGGAUGGUCCCAAUUUUAGACAAAUACCUUUUAUGAGGUGAUGUGCUAACUAGAUAUUUGAUUGAACUUGAGAUGUACAGUGCUUUUGCCCAUGUCGUUUGUUCUUCAUCAAAUCACGUCUCUCUGCCUAAUGGGCACUGGUUGUGAUUAUUUAUUGUUGGUAUUGUCUUCCUAAUUUUCUCUUCCAGUCUGGUUUCUAUCGGUGCUUCAGGUCUGAUAUUGUCAGUUAGUAUCAGUUACUCACCUGUGUUUAAGCAUAGGUGUUACUACCACACUCGAAGACUUGGAUGCUAAGGAGUGUAUUUCCUAAUCCUAAGGACAAGGAAUCAAAGGAUUCUUUUCAUUACUGGUAGAACUUUAGAUGCUUUGUCAAUUCAGGUGUUCUCUGAAAUGUGCUUCCGAAAGAUAUUUUCCAUUGUUAGUAUUGAUGGAUGCUCAAAUGGAGAUCACUGUAAUAGCCACCUUCUCUAUCCAUAUUUAGUAAGUAAUAUUUUUGAGAAAAUACUUGCCACUAUGAUGAUUGGUUGUCUUUUGAGAACCUUAUGGUUGCAAACUGUUUAGUUUUUUGUUCUUUUGUCUUGAGCAUUAUGAACCUACAUUCGGAUCAUACUUCUAAUCUGUUGCCCAAGGUAUUUCGAUAGUCAUAAAGUUUGAUGGCAAACUAAUGUAGCGUACGUUAUCAAAUUAAUUUAUGGAGACGUGCUAGACAAAUGUAAAUAAUUUCUUUUCUUCAAGUCACUGCUGGUGAUGUCCAUGAUUGAGAUGCCGGACAAACACGUAGUGCAUAGGGGAGCCUGGUGCUCGGAUGUCUCGUAAUAUUCAUAUUUAGAUGCUGGAUAGACACCUGAUGGCUAAGAUAGCUUGGUGCUCGGAUGUGCUGUAAUAUUUAUGAUUCAAAUGCCGAAUAGACACCUAUAUUAAUAUGUUGAUGAUGUGCUUCCUCCUAGAUAUAAUGCUUUCAUAU